Molecule: transfer RNA, 97 nt
Filed under: Amborella trichopoda
Lineage: Eukaryota; Viridiplantae; Streptophyta; Magnoliopsida; Amborellales; Amborellaceae
Description: tRNA AMTR_s00380t00273870
Source: RNAcentral
UACUAGUAGUACAAACAAGUAGUAUUAGUACUAUUACUAGUAAUGCACUACUAGUAGCAUGGACUACUAGUUCUAGUUCUAAUACUAGUACUAGUAG